RNAcentral lists this long non-coding RNA (1843 nucleotides) under Mus musculus (house mouse). RNAcentral's name for it is "long non-coding RNA chr6:34734103-34735946". The record is from RNAcentral. Lineage: Eukaryota; Metazoa; Chordata; Mammalia; Rodentia; Muridae.
UUCUCAGAUCUAGCAUCCUAGAUCCCUUCCAACCAGACCUAAUCUAUUGGUCAGUUCACACAGGAUGCUGCUGUACUGGUGCUAAGAACCAGCCUUCUAUGGUGUAUAUAGAUGUAGAAAGGUCUUAUUUUUUUUUCUUCCCACUGUCUGUUGCUCUGUAGCUCAUAUCCCCCAUCAUGGUUACAGAAAUUUACAUGUGGUGUUUGGCAAAAUUGUGUGACUUUGAGAUGCCAUCAUUGUAUAAAGUAAAUAAAUGAUGGGCAGGUGGUGACAACUUAUGAGGACUCAUUAAGAACAUGAACACAAAAGUUUGCAAAUAUUAUGGAGACCCAAAUAUAUGGUUGGUGUACAGUUUGUAUACUCAAAUAGGUUCAAAGGAUGUGGGAAAAAAGGGAGAGAUGGGUGAAUGGAGCUGCACUUCCUUUCUGAGCAAUUGUCUUCAAAGUGACCUAUUUUCUCCUGUGCCUUGACACCAGUAAAUAUGGCUCAAUAGUGGUCUGAUAGGUCAGGGAACCCUAUAAUGAAUAUACACAUUAUUUUUCAAGCCCCCCAAAAUUCUUUUCAGAGUCUUUCUUUCAGUAUCUCCUUUUAUUAAUCACACACACACAUACACACACACACACACACACACACACACACACACACACACACACACACACACUGACUUGCCAUAUUCUGACUGCAAGUACUUUUAUUUUCCUGGGUUUUAUUUUCCUACAUUGUAGCUUUUAAUUCCCUUCCUCUCAAGGAUUCCAAGGAAAAACUUCAGAAUUUGUCUUUAUAUGCAUUCAAUGAAACCAAGAUAUUUUGCCAACACCACAUGUAAACACAAUUAUAUUUAAGAGCUUGGAAUGUUUCAGCAAACUCGUAAGUUUCAAAGGAGCAUUAAGUCUACUGAGCACAGAGGACUCUUUUCAGGGCUCAGGGCUUUUACUCUUGAUCACAGCGUGGCCUCAGACUCACUGAGGGCAAGUGAGCAGCGCACAGUGCUCAUGGGAUGUGCAUUGAGAAGCUGCUCACAGAUCAUGUCCUGAAAGAAAACCCCUGGAGCUUGGGCACUGGGUGUGCCUGAGUCAUGUUGCCUCCAAAUAGUCGAUCGAUGAGCAUAUUCUUAACCCACAGAAACUUCUAACUCUGUAAGUCAGACCCUGUUGUAAGAACCUCAUUAAGAUAAUGACAUUUGCAGAAACUAUAAUGAAUAAUAGUAAUAAUAAUUAAUAAUAAUAAUACUUGCCUAAGAGUUGUCCUUCUGGAGGCCAUGAGGCUCGGGUCUCCUGUUACUAGGUGGGGCCUGCAUGGGAAGUGUGCAGCUGUGGGAAGCUGGGAACGUCUCUCCGGCUCGGCAUCUCACUGACAAACCUGAAAUCACUUUUCUCAAGUGACUCACAGGAAGGUGGAGGCCCCGUGAGGUUCAGAACUAUCAGAGCUGACCUUGAGGUCCAACCAACUCUUCACAGGCCUGUAGAGUCACUGUGAAUUCACAACGGUGUAUCGUGUCAGAUGAGGAACUUACUUGGUCUGUUGGCAUUCCGGGUGCAUUCUUUGUAAGAUAUGGGAGCAUGGCAGGGACCAUUAAGGAAAACAGACUACAUAUUUCAGUCUGAGUGGGGUGUUCAUAACUGGCCUCAUUAGAAUACCGUGAGCCUCUCAUUUUCUGAGGCUUUUCUUGUUAACCUGUGGAUUUUAAUGCCCUUAAACAGAGAAGGAAAUCGCUCCCUGCCUUCAAUAAGAGUAGUCUCUACUUUUUCUUUUUUUUAAAAAAAAAGUUCAUAGACUAUAUUUUUCCUUGUCAACUCCCAGAUCUUCCUCACCUCCCUAUCCACCCAACAGCACGUUCUUUCUC